GAGCGGACGGGGCCGCGUGCGCUGCGGGCGUGCAGCGUGCAGGGCCGGGGUAUUUUUAUCCCAUGCUUGAUGGAUCGGUGCACGGCUUCGCUGCUGCCAGAUGAUUUUCCACCGGUUCCAUCACAUAGCAAUUUAAGGGCGCGGAGCAAUCACACUCCAGAGAUGCGGGGAAGGAAGAGACAUCGGGCAACAGGAUGAAACUGAAUUGGAGAAGAGAUCCAAAUGCCAAGGAGGAGAGCGGACACACGUGUGUGGGUCCUGCUGAGCCCACGGGCAGGCGGGGGCUGGAAGAACACAGCUGCGCCAUUUGGGAGAAAAUGAUCCGAAUCGGGCUGCGAGCCUCCGGGAGGGAGAGCCCCGUGGGGCUGAGAGAGGCACGGCGCGGGGUCUGCCACAUCCGACAUUUUUGGAGUAGAAUGUGGCUGGAAAAUCCUUCUGCUGUUUGCCCAGACCAAAUUCCAGCCUCUGCCCCAUGGCAGAGGUGCAGGACAUGGGUGAGCACCACCGUGGCAUCCCCUCACCCUCACAGGUUCCACAUCCUCAUUUCCCAGGCACGGAUAAGAUGUUUGCGCCACGGACGGCAUGUUCUAUCAGCAUGAAACCCCUCUCGUUGUUGGAGUGUGGAAAAUGGAAGAAUGCUUUGUAAUCUGGUUACACGUGGCCUGCACAUCUCAGGUCUCAUACAUUUUUGUAGCUGCUGAUAGAAACGGGUCGAAUCCUUGCCUGGAUCAGAAGGAUAGGAGGCCUUGGAUGUUUGCACCCCCUCCUUUCUCCAGGAGUGAUGUGUCUGUAGGGCUGAGGACAAGGAUAGGUGCCCCCUGAAUGCUGGUGUAGCCCAAGGGGGCUGCAGGAGAGCUGUCCCCAUCAGUGUCACACGUUCUGGCCUCCCAGGGCAUUUGGUGGGUGACCUGGGAGGGGACAGGAGGGAUGUGACUGUUCUGCAAUGCUGCAGGUGGAAACUUAGCCCAGGAGAAGUGACCAGGCACGUGGUCACACCGAGUGCCCCCACUAAGCCGUGUCCCCAAGCACCACGUCCACACGUCCCUUACACACCUCUGGGGUGGGGAUGCCACCAGUGCCCCGGGCAGCCCGUCCCAGCACUCGGCCACCCUCUGUGGGACCAAAUUCUGCCUGAGGCCACUCUGGGCCUCCCCUGGUGCAGGCUGGGGGGUUCCUGGAGAGCAGCCGGCUUGGAUGAAGCCGUCCCCAUCACCAGCCCCCUGCCCAUGUUGCUGCCCCAGCGCUUUGGGGCUGAUGCAGGGCGUUGCCUCUUGCCUUGCACUCACCUAAGUUGGGCUGGAAAAAUCCUCAUGGAAAACUGUUAGUGGCUGUUAUAGCUGUCUUUCAAGCUGCCCUAUUUCUUUAAUCCUGCAGAGUGGAUCCAAGCCAAGCUCCCAUUGACAUCUACACCUGGAGAGGAGCUGGUUUGGUGCUUCAGUGCCAAGAGCCCGUUUCCACCUCACCCCAGGCAUGUCCCUGCCCCAUCAUUCUUCACCAGCACCACCAGAGCCUUCAUGAUCUUGAUGUUUUUUCCAACCUAGAUGUUUCUCAGUGCCCUGCUGAGCAUUUCCCACAGGGAGGGAUGCUCCAUCCUCCAGCCUGUUGCGAUCAGAGCCCGUCCAUGGCAGUGCUGCAGCGUGCCCAAGGCAGGAGGCUUCUGUCUGCCUUCCCCUGGCUCCUGGCUCCUCCAGGAAGGGGAUGGAGGAGGCCAAGAGCUGGGCAUCUCUUCUGUGGUCCCAUCCCCAUCCCCUGGGGACCCUGCCCCAGCCGAGGUGCACAGGGCUAUGCCCAGCCUCAGGAACGUGCCCGGUGGCCUUUGCUGGGCAGUUUCAUGGUGCUGCGUGUGCUCAAGGCUGGGCAUGGUUGCAGGAGUGUGUCCUUGGCAAAACCUCAGAAAAACACUGGGUUUUGAGCUCACCCAUCCUCUGGAGAAGCUCUGGGUCAAUUUGAGAGUGGCUCCGGGGCGUUGCUCCCUUGCAGGGCAAAUAAAGGGUGUGGGUCCCCGCGGGGACAGCGGCUCCGUGCCCUCCCAGGGACACCUUGUCUGGGACCUGGCGCUCACCCAGCAGCUCUCCUGCAGGGCUGCUGCCACCUGUGGCGGUUUGAUCUGCCAAACAGCUCAGGAAUUGCAGGCUUAAUCUGCUGUAAUCUCCUCGGCACGAUUUGUCCCUUCAAAAUAAUGCCGUGUUUUGAUGGGCUCGUGACAAGGGCGUUUAAUCCCACAAGGAGAGCCUUCCGCUCUCUUGACCGGUGUCCCUUCCAUGUCAACAUCUUCAAGGCACCGAGCAAGGCCUCCAGCACCGCUGCUGCACUGCUGGACGGGUGCCCUCAGGACUAGGGUUCAGGUUAGGGUUAGUUAGGGCUAGUGCUAGGGUGCAGAUGGCAUCCCUUCUCCCUGCCUGCACACACACCAGCAGCCGGAGUUGUUGCUGAUGAACUUCAAGGAUCCUCUCCCCGCAGAGCUAAUGUUUGCG
This is a long non-coding RNA of Oxyura jamaicensis (ruddy duck), 2474 nucleotides long. RefSeq lists it as uncharacterized. The record is from RefSeq and is a predicted model, not a curated record. The transcript has 4 exons. Lineage: Eukaryota; Metazoa; Chordata; Aves; Anseriformes; Anatidae.